CCUAAGUCUCUGCAUCUUUAAGCCUCAGAAGACUCUCUGUCUGGAACGACAGUGAGCUCAACAUGAAGUAGAAAUAAACUCUCUAGGGUCUUUGAUUCUCGAUCAAGUGCAGAUGCAUAAGGCCCUCCUGGACAUCAACUGAGGCAGUCAGUGUUAAAGAUUUGAAUGACUCUGCUGACUGAGUAACCAAUCACUGUGCAAAUCAAGGCGCAUCUGACUCUUUGCCUGCUGGUAGGUGACUAAUUUCUGUAUAAAAAAAGAGUAUGUG
RNAcentral lists this long non-coding RNA (268 nucleotides) under Chinchilla lanigera (long-tailed chinchilla). RNAcentral's name for it is "lncRNA (ENSCLAG00000026287.1)". Lineage: Eukaryota; Metazoa; Chordata; Mammalia; Rodentia; Chinchillidae. The record is from RNAcentral.